This 245-nucleotide ribosomal RNA is filed under the name uncultured bacterium. Its description in RNAcentral is "partial 16S ribosomal RNA". It matches the Rfam family "Bacterial small subunit ribosomal RNA", at positions 524 to 768 of the family's 1533-position model. The record is from RNAcentral.
UACAGAGGGUGCGAGCGUUAAUCGGAAUUACUGGGCGUAAAGCGUGCGUAGACGGUAGCGUAAGUCAGAUGUGAAAGCCCCGGGCUCAACCUGGGAAUUGCAUUUGAGACUGCUCUGCUCGGGUGCGGAAGAGGGAAGCGGAAUUUCCGGUGUAGCGGUGAAAUGCGUAGAUAUCGGAAGGAACACCAGUGGCGAAAGCGGCUUCCUGGUCCGACACCGACGUUCAGGCACGAAAGCGUGGGGAG